This is a non-coding RNA of Sus scrofa (pig), 2853 nucleotides long. The record is from RefSeq and is a predicted model, not a curated record. NCBI's taxonomy places the organism in Eukaryota, Metazoa, Chordata, Mammalia, Artiodactyla, Suidae.
CUGGGGUGGCAGGAGCCCCACCCUACAUCCAUCUCGCUGGGCCAGCAGCAGCCCCCAACAGGCAGGUGGCUGGAUGAGAGUGAGGACGAGGCCCCGGGUGCGGGAGGGAGGCUCAAAGGCCCGAUCCACACCGCCUGGCAGUGGGACUUUGGGCAGCUUCCCUCCCUGCUCUGCCGGCUCCUGGUCUGCAGUAUGGAGACAGCAGAGACCCGCCCCCCCCUUGCCGUCCGGUCUGCCUUAGUGGUCCAGGACAGGGCCCAGCACUCAGAACUGUCAUCCCGGAGUUCCCUCUGGGGACAAGUCCAGCCUCCUCUCUGGCCCCCGUCAGAGUCCCUGACCCUUAGGUCCCGGAAUUAUUUUCAGAGAAAAGGCUGACACUCCACCUGGGAGCUGCGGUGGAGAAGCUAAGCUCCGCCUCUCGCAGCCACAGCGAUUCCAGGAGGAAGUUUCAAGGACCCCGCAGCCUGGAGGACGAUGCUUGGGAAAAUCCAGGCAGGCUGCUGGGACAAGGUGAUGCUUAGGUCACGUCAGCCCAUCCCCCGGCUGCAGGAGGCGCGACACCCCGCCCGCCCCGGAGCCAGAGAGCCUGAGACACACGCGCAUCCAUCCAUCCAUCCGCUGUCCAGACACCCGCGUGCGGUCCGGCCGGGUGCGCAGCGCCAGGUCUGAGGAGUCCAGCCUCUCCGAAGCACUGUGUGCGUGGGGGCCUGGCUGGUGGCCCGAGGGCCAGGGUGCAGCUGCCCCCGCACCAUGGUGUAGCCCAGAGGAUCGCUGGACAGGGACAGGGACAGGGCUGGGGAGGAAGGGCCUGGGCACUGCCGUACGCUGGUCCACAGCCCCCCAGGCUUGCUCAGACCCUCCGCAGUGAUGGUGACGGGGGUGGUGGGUCCCCCAGCCACCCUGGCCCAGCCCUGCCCACCUGGCACCUGUGUGAAGGUGGAGCCUGGCCUCCACCAACUUGGGUUGGGGGAACUGGGCCAUGCACGGGGGCCUGAAGGACAGAAGGGAGAGGUGGGGGGCGGGCUGGAACCCCCAAAGCUGGGCAGGGCUAAAAAGGAGUUGGUCCCUGGACUCCCAGAGUGCGAGUCUGGGAGACCUGACGACAGUCACUGCUCAGCUGGAGUUUCAGGCCAGCCCGGCGCUGCCCCCUACAGGCUGCCUGGGCUAAUGGCACCCAUGUAGUCACAGCCCGGGUGGGAGUCCCUGGGGCCAGGGGAGCACAGGGGGCCUGGGAUCCAGGGCCUGGAUGUGUGUGCCUGUCCUCACACGCACAGCCCCGCCCCAAGGACACACCCCACAGCCCCGAGGAGAGCCUCUGCUGGAGGUCGCCCCUUCUCUGGCCUCAUCCAGCCCUGGAGGAGAUGCUGCCCCCUGGGACCCCCCCAGUAGGACACAGGAACGGGCCCAGUGCACCCAGGGCAGCCGCAGGGCCCAGGGAGGGCUCUCUCGUUUGUAUGCCCGGGCACACAGGCACACAUGGGCACAGACACCACCAGUGGGUCCUUCCCAGAGGGUGGGGUGCCAGCCUCAGGAAGACCUGGACAGCUGCUGGGCCGGGCAGCAAGCCCCCUUCACCUGGGCUAUGAGGGGCCCAGGGGAGUUUGGGGUUCGGCCUCGGCUGGGGUAGCUGUGGUAGAGGCAGUGCUUGACUUCGGGGGGCUGUGGUGGAGGGGGGGGCACCUGCAGGAAGCAGGGGGCACGUGGAAGUGGGGCUCCGGCCAGCCUCCCUGCCUUUCCAUUCCCUCGGGGACUCUGGCAUGAGGCUGGCAGCCCACUGAAAGGGCCGACCCUCCAGGCUGGCUCCAGACGGACCCUCACAGAGGCGCAGAGGUGGGCGUCUCCAUGAGGGGCUGGGACCCCGUGGGAGGCCCGCUCAGGGAGGCCAAGGGGGCAGUGGGUGGGCCUCGGGCUGCCAGCCCCCGCCGUGGUGGGGGCUUCGUCUGCUCAGGCUGCCCGUAAGAAAAUGCCACCGGCCAGGGCCUGAAACAGCAGAUAGGUAUUUUCUCACUGCCCUGGAGGGUGGGAGUUUGAGACCAGGGUGGCGGCCAGUUUGCUGGGGGCGAGGGGCUGCUCCCUUGCUUGCAGAGGGCCGCCCUCCGGCCGGUCCUCAUGGGGGAGGCAGAGGCCUGGUCCUGCCUCUUUGCAGAAGGACGAGCCCUAAUCGCCGCCCAAGGGCCCCUGACUCUGGGGUUAGGGCUUCAGUGCAGGCAUUCUGGGGGCACACACCUUGGCUCCAGGUCCCCACCGCACACGCGGGGAGGGGCUAGGGGACCCGCAGCGUCCUGUGUCUGGGCAGCUCCACUUACCCCCGUCCCCAUCCUGGCAGGAGGCCCCUUGGCCCCUGGGGACAAUGUGCAGGAAAUGCAGGGGCACAGAGGCCCGGACCCGCGGCUGUGUGCCCGGCUCGGGUCAUGUUUACCCUCGGAAGGCCAGUGCCAGGGCCCCCACCCGGCCUCGCGGCCCCGAGUUAACUCCAGGAUAAACGGCCAUUCAGCCACACAAGGCCCCUUUGUCCAGGGGGAGGCUCCCGGCCCAGCAUGCUGCCCGGCGGCCCGUGUCCUCAGCGUGGCCCGCCGCCCCGCGUGGCCUUCUCUGGGCAGGGCCCUGGCCUGGCUCAGAGAGGCCCCCGCUGGGGACGAGGCCCUGCAGCUCUUGCAGUGGCCGGGGGGCCAGGCAGGCUGCGCUGGGGGAGGGGGUGCCCGAGGCUUCUCAGAGCAGCCCUGAUCCUGCAGGAGAACGUGUCCCUGCAGCCGUGUGGCCACCUCGGCCUCUGGGCCAGGCACUCCCGUGGGGGGCCGCACCUGUGACACAUGGCGAUUCCCAGUGGCUGAUUCAGAGCUGUAGCUGCCCGCC